UCGCUUCAGCAGCACAUAUAUUAAACUUGGAACGAUACAGAAAAGAUUAGCAUGGCCCCUGUGCAAAGAUGACACGCAAAUUCAUGAAACGUUCCAUAUUAAA
This 103-nucleotide small nuclear RNA is filed under the name Carlito syrichta (Philippine tarsier). The record is from RNAcentral. Lineage: Eukaryota; Metazoa; Chordata; Mammalia; Primates; Tarsiidae.